RNAcentral lists this transfer RNA (65 nucleotides) under Agrilus planipennis (emerald ash borer). It matches the Rfam family "tRNA". From Rfam's summary of the family: Transfer RNA (tRNA) molecules are approximately 80 nucleotides in length. The record is from Rfam by way of RNAcentral. Lineage: Eukaryota; Metazoa; Arthropoda; Insecta; Coleoptera; Buprestidae.
ACCUUUGGCUUUAGAGCACUGGUCCGUAAAACCAAAGGCCCCGGGUUCGAUUCCCGGCAAGGGUG